Molecule: ribosomal RNA, 771 nt
Filed under: Lissopterus quadrinotatus
Lineage: Eukaryota; Metazoa; Arthropoda; Insecta; Coleoptera; Carabidae
Description: partial 16S ribosomal RNA
Rfam family: Bacterial large subunit ribosomal RNA (bases 1-565)
Source: RNAcentral
AGGUCUGACCUGCCCACUGAAAUUAUUUUAAAUGGCCGCAGUAAUUUGACUGUGCAAAGGUAGCAUAAUCAUUAGUUUUUUAAUUAAAAGCUUGUAUGAAGGGUUGGACGAGAUAAAAUCUGUCUCUAUUUAAUUUAUUAUAAAAUUUAAUUUUUAAGUUAAAAAGCUUAAAUUUUUUUAAAAGACGAGAAGACCCUAUAGAUCUUUAUAGUUUUGAUUUUGAAUUUAAUUAAUAAAUUUUUAGGAUUUAUGAUUUAAACUAUUUUAUUGGGGUAAUAGAAAGAUUAAAAUAAUUCUUUUUUUCUUUAAACAUUUAUUUAUGUUUUUAAUGAUCCAAUUUUAUUGAUUAUAAGAUUAAGUUACCUUAGGGAUAACAGCGUAAUUUUUUUAGAGAGUUCUUAUCGAUAAAAAAGUUUGCGACCUCGAUGUUGGAUUAAAGAUUAGUUUAGGUGUAGAAGUUUAAAUUUUUGGUCUGUUCGACCAUUAAAUCUUUACAUGAUCUGAGUUCAGACCGGCGUAAGCCAGGUCGGUUUCUAUCUUUAAUAAUUUUAAAAUAUUUUAGUACGAAAGGACCAAAUAUUUAAUAUAUUUAUAUUUAAUUUUUUGAAUAUUAUUAAAAAUUAUUUUGGCAGAAUAGUGCAAUGAAUUUAGAAUUCAUAAAUGUAAUUUUAUUACAAAUAAUACUUGUUUUUUUUAGAUGUAAUUUUCUCUUUAGUGUGUAUAUUUUUAUUAAUUAUUUGUGUUUUAGUUGGGGUUGCUUUUUUAACAUUA